UAAAAGUCGUAACAAGGUUUCCGUAGGGGAAACUUGCGGAAAAAUCAUCAACAAAUCCAACCUUAUCAACCCCACCAUGUGAAAAGAGGGGGCAUGUGUAUGUGUGCGCAUGUGUGAAAGCAUAUGUGCGUGUGUGUACGUGUGUCUACACAUCAAGAAAUAUCCACGGCGUUUAGCGUUGUGGAUAUGGAUUGAGUGACCCCACCAUAACCAAACUAAUAACAACCCAUUGUAACUCCAGUUGCAUACUGACCUCACGCUUUGUAGGCGUUUGGUUGUGUGGAUUGAUAUGAUUCGCGUCGUAUUGAUCUUCACAUCACAAAAGAACACAAACCAUGAGACAACUUUAUACGGUGGAUCUCUUGGCUCGUGCAUCGAUGAAGAACGCAGCAAACUGCGAUACGUAGUGUGAAUUGCAGAAUUCAGUGAAUCAUCGAAUCUUUGAACGCAAAUUGCACUCCUGGGUAUCCCUGGGAGUAUGCUUGCCUGAGUGCCACGAAAACCUAUGCUCCAUUGAUGUGAUGCCCUGUGCAUCAUAUGACGAUGGGAAGUGGGGCGUCGGAAGCCACAACAUGAUUGCAGCUUGCGUGCCCUUAAAUUCGUGACGCGUACCUCACCAUAACCUGGAUACGCCACAAGACGGUAACUGGCUUAACGCCACCUUAUUCUACUUGUGUGCUGUGUCCGAUCCAAUACUGGAGACGUGGUGACGGAGUCUGGCGCGCCAAGGUAUAUGUAUUUAUACAAAUGUUAUUUACCAUAACACUUUCAACUUUGGCCUCAGAUCAAGCAAGACUACCCGCUGAAUUUAAGCAUAUCAAUA
RNAcentral lists this ribosomal RNA (823 nucleotides) under uncultured eukaryote. Its description in RNAcentral is "eukaryotic LSU rRNA". The stretch from base 343 to 496 matches the Rfam family "5.8S ribosomal RNA". The record is from RNAcentral.